This is an unclassified non-coding RNA of Papio anubis (olive baboon), 149 nucleotides long. It matches the Rfam family "Metazoan signal recognition particle RNA". From Rfam's summary of the family: The signal recognition particle (SRP) is a universally conserved ribonucleoprotein. It is involved in the co-translational targeting of proteins to membranes. The eukaryotic SRP consists of a 300-nucleotide 7S RNA and six proteins: SRPs 72, 68, 54, 19, 14, and 9. The record is from Ensembl. Lineage: Eukaryota; Metazoa; Chordata; Mammalia; Primates; Cercopithecidae.
GCUGGGCGUGGUGGCGGGCACCUGUAAUCCCAGCUACUCAGGAGGCUGAGGCAGGAGAAUUGCUUGAACCCAGGAGGCAGAGGUUGCAGUGAGCUAAGAUUGCACCAACUGCAAUCCAUCCUGGGUGACAGAGCAAGACUCUGUCUCAA